RNAcentral lists this ribosomal RNA (253 nucleotides) under uncultured bacterium. Its description in RNAcentral is "partial 16S ribosomal RNA". It matches the Rfam family "Bacterial small subunit ribosomal RNA", at positions 524 to 776 of the family's 1533-position model. The record is from RNAcentral.
UACAUAGGUCCCAAGCGUUAUCCGGAUUUACUGGGCGUAAAGCGUCCGUAGCCGGCUUAUUAAGUCCGCAUUCAAAUCCCGGGGCUCAACCUCGGACAGGGUGCGGAUACUGGUAAGCUAGAAUAUGAUAGAGGUUAGUAGAAUUUCCGGUGGAGGGGUGAAAUCCGUUGAUAUCGGAAGGAAUACCGAAAGCGAAGGCAGCUAACUAUAUCAUUAUUGACGGUCAGGGACGAAAGUAUGGGUAGCAAACGGG